UACGUAGGGCGCAAGCGUUGUCCGGAAUUAUUGGGCGUAAAGAGCUCGUAGGCGGUUUGUCGCGUCUGCUGUGAAAACUCGAGGCUCAACCUCGGGCUUGCAGUGGGUACGGGCAGACUAGAGUGCGGUAGGGGUGACUGGAAUUCCAGGUGUAGCGGUGAAAUGCGUAGAUAUCUGGAGGAACACCGGUGGCGAAGGCGGCAUCCUGGACCGACACUGACGCUGAGGCGCGAAAGCUAGGGUAGCAAACGGG
Molecule: ribosomal RNA, 253 nt
Filed under: uncultured bacterium
Lineage: Bacteria
Description: partial 16S ribosomal RNA
Rfam family: Bacterial small subunit ribosomal RNA
Source: RNAcentral